GAUAAACGCUGGCGGCGUGCCUAAUACAUGCAAGUCGAACGGAGGUAUGUAGCAAUACGUGCCUUAGUGGCGAAUGGGUGAGUAACGCGUUGGUGACCUGCCCCGAAGAGGGGGAUAACGGUUCGAAAGGACUGCUAAUACCCCAUAUGGUUAUAAGAGUUAGAGGUCUUAUAUCUAAAGGAGUAAUCCACUUCGGGAGGGGCCUGCGUCCCAUCAGCUAGUUGGUAGGGUAAUGGCCUACCAAGGCGAUGACGGGUAGGGGACCUGAGAGGGUGGCCCCCCACAAUGGAACUGAAACACGGUCCAUACACCUACGGGUGGCUG
This 324-nucleotide ribosomal RNA is filed under the name uncultured Chloroflexota bacterium. RNAcentral describes it as "bacterial SSU rRNA". It matches the Rfam family "Bacterial small subunit ribosomal RNA", at positions 28 to 351 of the family's 1533-position model. Lineage: Bacteria; Bacillati; Chloroflexota. The record is from RNAcentral.